Molecule: long non-coding RNA, 2529 nt
Organism: Nyctereutes procyonoides (raccoon dog)
Lineage: Eukaryota; Metazoa; Chordata; Mammalia; Carnivora; Canidae
Exons: 10
Source: RefSeq, a predicted model, not a curated record
CCUCUCCGCGCGGGCUGCGGCCCCGCCCCCGGGGCCCUCCCUCCAGCCGUGCUCGCCUGCGGCCCGCCCGUGGGUGUGAACGCACAGUUGGCAGGUCCGGCUGUGAGGGUCAGCUGGCUCCUGUGACCAGGCGAGAAAAAUGAGGCCCCGAGGAGGUCACAGCACGGCCUGGCUCUGACUCAGGCUCUUGGCCCCUGCGAUCCGCGCGUCACCAAGAGCCUCGCUGGGCGGAGGAGACACAUGCACUGAUCCCAGAACAAGAGAGGCAAUGAGCAGUACUUUUUAGAAUUCAGGAUUGCCAGGCCGGUGGACUAUUUCUCUCUGUUCCAGAUACCUGAUUGCGACAAUUUCCAUCAAUUCCAAUAAAAAAGGACAUCACAGAACAUGUCCACAAUACAGUGACCUGAAUCUGCUGGGAGAGCCUGUACUUCAUCAGGAGCUUCUGGAUAGAGUUAGCCAGCCCUUCCCUUUGGAGUCCUCUUGGAAGCUGGUGGACCCACAGAGAGUGUGCAUCCUGCCCUGUUCCUUCGUGUUCUAGGAUUAAAAGGCCAAGGCCCUGCUUGGCGAGACUAGCUAGGGAGAGGAUGCCAGGAGUCAGCCUGAGACCCCUCCCUACGUCAUGGGCUUUUCUGGGAGGAACAGAAGCUUGUGGCCGUAUGUGAACCAUUACUGUGGGACCUCGUUUCCAGGCCGCCCUAGAGAACUUCACGAGAGCCCUUCUCCCCGACUGCUGGCCCUACUGCCCAGCGGCGAUUCUAGACCCUCCAGGAGAUGCUUUGCUGUGAGCUCACAAGGGUGGAAACCACAAGGAGCUGACGGCCUUCCAGAAGCUGCUACAGCGGCCUCCUCUGUGGCUCCUCUCCAGCCGUUGGUUUCACCCAACGGCAACAAGCUCUGACUGGCCCACCCGCACCAGGGCUGUCUAGGGCCCUUCUCUGCUACUUUUGGAGACGUUCCUUCCUCAGCUCCUCCCCAAACUGGGGACAUUUUAUCAUCCUUUAUGCACCGUCACACCAGACACCUUGAAUAGAAUCAACAUAUAUCAAUACAAUCCAUGUGGCGUUGACUACAGUAUCCUUGAAUGCCUUGGUGGAGCAGGCACAAGAGAACUCUUCCGGGAGAACCUUCAUCAGUCAAUCUAAAGACCCUUGUCCAUGAGACAAACAGUAACUGGGGACCAGAGACACCGUGGAAAGACAAACUGUCCCCCCUCGUAUCUUGCAAAGACUCAAAAAUCUCCCAUCUCCGGGGCUAGACGGGUCACCUCCAGGCUGCUUCCCCCUGCUUUGGCUUGAGUGUUUCUACCUCAUCGUACAGCACCAAGCUGAAGGGAGGCCAGCAGGACUGAAUUCAGUGCACAUAUUGGAGGAAUUUACUAGAGACUUCUUACCGAUUAGAGGGGCAAGACCAAAAAGCUGGUGACCACUGCUUGGGGCUGAGACUGAUGUGUCCGCAUGUCCAUCUGACUUAUGAAGAAGAGAUGUGAGUGGUGGUCCAGCUUGGACUCUGCAUUUCAAGGAGGGAAGCAAGCAGGUCAAAGCCAAUAGCAGGAGAUGUGACCAUGGAAGGAAGAGGCUGGAGUGACGGAGGGACAACCACAAGCCAAGGAGUGAGGACGGCAGCCUCUAGACACUACAAAAGGCAGGGAAGUGGAUUUUCCCCUGAAGCCUCUAGAAGGACCCAGCUGUCAACACCCUGACUUUAGCCCAGUGAGAUGGAUUUUGGACUCUGACCUCCAAAACUAGAGAAGGAGGGGCAGAGAGAGAAGAAGAGAGAAUCUUGAGCAGGCUCCACGCCUAGGAGCUGGUGAUUGAGGCAGUGGCUACCAAGGCUUCAUCUGAAUCCCAAGGACAGGAGGAUCCCUCCUCUCCUGGGCUCCACGGAGCUAGAAGACAGAGCCCACCCCUGAGGACCAGAGUCGGUGAACUCAGACUGUUCUAGACUAGCUAUAGUCCGCAGGUCUCCAGCUACUUUCUGGCUGGCUUUGGCCCAUGGGAGGAACUGGGAGGAAAUUGGUUGGUGGGAGGGGCCAGGGUAUUUCUCCUCCUCUUCUCCUUGGGCGGAGACAGGCACUGGAUUUCUUCUUGUCACCUGCUUCUGCAGUAUCCGUUUUCAACUUCCUCGUCUGCCAGGUGACCUCCUGGCUCUAGUAACUCCACCUCCUUCUUUUGUCCCUCCAGCCUGGGGAUGGGAGUAAAUGUUGUGCAUUUGCCAAUCUUGCCAGUUACUUCAUUACUUUCUGGCUUUUUCAAGCCUCUUACAUCAUUGGUAGAGCCAUUUCCCUACAUUAAAAUUCCAAUUGAAAAUAAAAUAAAAUAAAAUACAAUUCCAAUUGAUUUCUGGAUUCCUGGUUGGACCUUGGCUGAAACCCCGAGUAGCCCAGAAUUUGGCAGGCACCCUGCCCAUAAAGGCAACUCUGGGCAAAGCAGUGUCCUCAUGGUUCUAAGUAGUACAUGGGAGAAGAUGCUACUUCUUUGAGAACAACAUGCAUCAGCAGGUUCAUGACCAGAGUGGAUAGAGAUGCAGGAU